UGGAGCAUCGGUGUGAGGGAUUCGUUAUGGCUCAGAUUGAACGCUGGCGGGAUGCUUUACACAUGCAGGUCAGACGACGGCACGUACUUCGGUCUGGUGGCGGUGGCGAGAACAGGUGAGUAAUGUCGGAACGUGCCUAGUAGCGGGGGAUAACUACGCGAAAGCUGUGUCACCGCAUACGCCCUUCAGGGGAAAGCGGGGGACCUUCGGGCUCGCAUAGAGCAGCCGAUAUCGGAUUAACAGCUUUGGUUGGUGAAGUGUAACAGCUCACCAAGGCGACGAUCCGUAGCUGGUUUUAGAGGACGAUAACCACUGGGACUGAGACACGGCCCAGACUCCUACGGGAGGCAGCAGUGGGGAAUUUUGGACAAUGGGGAAACCUGAUCCAGCCAUCCGCAUGUGCGAUGAAGGCCUUCAGGUUGUAAAAGCACUGCUUGCAGGAAAGAAACGGCACGGGGAUAUGCCCCGUGCAACUGAUAAAUAUAGAGAUAAAGCACAAGCUAACUACGUAUGGCAACCCAUACGUGUAAUGCGGCAGAGGCGCAGCGUUAAUCGGAAUUACUGGGCGUAAAGCGUGCAGGCGGUUCGAAGAUGUGAAAUCCAGAGCUUAACCUGGAACUGCAUUUUUAACUACCAGCUAGAGUGUAUUCAGAGGUGGAAUUCGCUUGAUAGCAGCAGUGAAAUGCGUAUUGAUAUGGAGAAGACACCAGUGGCGAAAGGCAGCCUCCUGGGAUAACACUGACGCUCAUGCGAAAGCGUGGGAGCAAGAGCAGGAUUAGAAUGCCCUGGUAGUCCGCCUAAACGAUGUCAACUGGCUGUUGGGGCCUGGGCUUGGUAGCGCAGCUAACGCGUGAGAUUGACCGCCUGGGAAGUACAGUCGCAAGAUUAAAACUCAAAGGAAUUGACAGGGACCCGCGGCAGUGGAUGAUGUGGAUUAAUUCGAUGCAACGCGAAAACCUUACCUACCCUUGACAUGUCUGGAAUCCCGAAGAGAUUUGGGAGUGCUCGCAGAGAACCGGAACACAGGUGCUGCAUGGCUGUGUCGGCUCAUUCGUGAGAUGUUGGGUUAAGUCGCAACGAAGGCGCAACCCUUGUCAUUAGUUGCCACGAAAGGGCAUCUAGUAAAGGACUGCCAGUGACAAACCGGAAGGUGGGGACAUCGGUCCUCAUGGCCCUUAUGGUGGGAUUCACACACGUCAUGCAAUGGUCGGGACAGGAGGGGUCGCCAACCCGCGAGAGACCAAUCCCAGAAACCCGAUCGUAGUCCAGAUGUAGUCUGCAACUCGACUGCGUGAAGUCGGAAUCGCUAGUAAUCGCGGAUCCAGCAUGUCGCGGUGAAUACGUUCAGGUCUUGUACACCACCGCCCGUCCUUUGUAGGGUGGUUUACCAAGUAGUUAGCCUAACCGUAAGGAGGGCGAUUACCGGUGUAAGUUCAUGACUGGGGUGAAGUCUCAACAAAGUGG
Molecule: ribosomal RNA, 1464 nt
Filed under: uncultured Bordetella sp.
Lineage: Bacteria; Pseudomonadati; Pseudomonadota; Betaproteobacteria; Burkholderiales; Alcaligenaceae
Description: partial 16S-23S ribosomal RNA intergenic spacer
Rfam family: Bacterial small subunit ribosomal RNA
Source: RNAcentral